UACGUAGGGCGCAAGCGUUGUCCGGAAUUAUUGGGCGUAAAGAGCUCGUAGGUGGCUUGUUGCGUCUGCCGUGAAAGCCCGUGGCUUAACUACGGGUCUGCGGUGGAUACGGGCAGGCUAGAGGCUGGUAGGGGCAAGCGGAAUUCCUGGUGUAGCGGUGAAAUGCGCAGAUAUCAGGAGGAACACCGGUGGCGAAGGCGGCGAUCUGGGUAGAUACUGACGCUGAGGUGCGAAAGCGUGGGGAGCAAACAGG
This 253-nucleotide ribosomal RNA is filed under the name uncultured bacterium. RNAcentral describes it as "partial 16S ribosomal RNA". It matches the Rfam family "Bacterial small subunit ribosomal RNA", at positions 524 to 776 of the family's 1533-position model. The record is from RNAcentral.